Molecule: regulatory RNA element, 84 nt
Rfam family: c-di-GMP-I riboswitch aptamer
About the family: GEMM was predicted in a large-scale screen for bacterial structured RNA regulatory elements. Genes associated with GEMM are involved in a diverse array of functions, including chemotaxis regulation, signal transduction, secretion and chitin.
Source: Rfam
UUAAUUUAAAGGCAAACUCACUGAAAGGUGACGACGCAAAGCUAUAGGGGCUUCUGUCAUAAGACUUGCCAGCCAGCUACCAUC